RNAcentral lists this ribosomal RNA (498 nucleotides) under uncultured bacterium. RNAcentral describes it as "partial 16S ribosomal RNA". It matches the Rfam family "Bacterial small subunit ribosomal RNA", at positions 30 to 523 of the family's 1533-position model. The record is from RNAcentral.
AUUGAACGCUGGCGGCAUGCCUUACACAUGCAAGUCGAACGGUAACAGGUCUUCGGAUGCUGACGAGUGGCGAACGGGUGAGUAAUACAUCGGAACGUGCCUAGUAGUGGGGGAUAACUACUCGAAAGAGUGGCUAAUACCGCAUGAGAUCUACGGAUGAAAGCAGGGGAUCGCAAGACCUUGUGCUACUAGAGCGGCCGAUGGCAGAUUAGGUAGUUGGUGGGAUAAAAGCUUACCAAGCCGACGAUCUGUAGCUGGUCUGAGAGGAAGAUCAGCAACAGUGGGACGCGGAACCGGCCCAGACUCCUACGGGAGGCAGCAGUGGGGAAGUUUGGACAAUGGGCGCAAGCCUGAUCCAGCAAUGCCGCGUGCAGGAUGAAGGCCUUCGGGUUGUAAACUGCUUUUGUACGGAACGAAAAGCCCCGGGUUAAUACCCUGGGGUCAUGACGGUACCGUAAGAAUAAGCACCGGCUAACUACGUGCCAGCCGCCGCCGUAA